RNAcentral lists this ribosomal RNA (424 nucleotides) under Enoplometopus gracilipes. Its description in RNAcentral is "partial large subunit ribosomal RNA". It matches the Rfam family "Bacterial large subunit ribosomal RNA", at positions 1967 to 2598 of the family's 2925-position model. The record is from RNAcentral. Lineage: Eukaryota; Metazoa; Arthropoda; Malacostraca; Decapoda; Enoplometopidae.
AUUAGUCUUUUAAUUGAAGACUUGUAUGAAUGGUUGGACAAGAAAUAUACUGUCUCUGGUGAAUAGUUUGAAAUUAACUUUUAAGUGAAAAGGCUUAAAUGAAUUAGAGGGACGAUAAGACCCUGUAAAAGUUAAUACUUUAUAAUUAUUUUUAUAAAAUUGUUUGUAAAGUGUCAAUUAAUUAUAUAAGUAUUUUGUUGGGGCGACAAGAGUAUAAUUUGUAACUGCUGAUAAUUAUAGUCAAAUAUUUUUGUUUUUGUGAUCCUAAUUUUUGAUUAAGAGAUUAAGUUACUUCAGGGAUAACAGCGUUAUUUUUUUUGAGAGUUCAUAUCGACAAAAAAGUUUGCGACCUCGAUGUUGAAUUAAAAGUUCUUUAUAAUGCAACAGUUAUAAAAAGAAGGUCUGUUCGACCUUUAAAUUUUUA